GUCGUGGGGCAGCAUGACUGUAGCAAUACAGUUGAUGGCGACCGGCAAUUUGGUGCGGAAUUGAGAUUACACAACCUUCCCUCAAGUGGGGAAUAGCCCAGGGAAAUUGAGAGGAUUAAUACCCCGUAACAUGGUGAGAGGGCAUCUUCUUACUAUUAUAGCAGCAAUGCGCUUAAUGAUGGGUGUGCGUCUGAUUAGGUAGUUGGCGGGGUAUUUGCCCACCAAGCCUUUUAUCAGUAACUGGUGUGAGAGCUUUACCAGUCAUUGAGAUGGCACUGAGAUUGAGAUGGCCCGACUCCUUUUGGAGGCAGCAAUAAGGAAUAUUGGUCAAUGGUUUCAAGUCUGAACCAGCCAUGCCGCGUGAAGGAUGAAGGUCCUCUGGAUUGUAGAUUGAGACCUCUACCUGGGAAGAAAUCCAUGGCUCAUACUGUGGUUGUUUGUACCAGAUGAAUAAGCACCGGCUAACUCCGUGCCAGCAGCCGCGGUAAUUUUGAGGGUGCAAGCGUUAUCCGGAUACACUGGGCUCAAAGGGUGCGUAGGCGGGCAGGUAAGUCAGUGGUGAAAUCUCCGGGCUUAACUCGGAAACUGCCGUUGAUACUAUCUGUCUUGAAUACCGUGGAGGUGAGCGGAAUAUGUCAUGUAGCGGUGAAAUGCUUAGAUAUGACAUAGAACACCGAUUGCGAAGGCAGCUCGCUAUUGAGAUGUAAUUGUUUCUGAGGCUUUAAAGCGUGGGGAUCAAACAGGAUUAGAUACCCUGGUAGUCCUUUCCCUAAU
RNAcentral lists this ribosomal RNA (774 nucleotides) under uncultured bacterium. RNAcentral describes it as "bacterial SSU rRNA". It matches the Rfam family "Bacterial small subunit ribosomal RNA", at positions 61 to 806 of the family's 1533-position model. The record is from RNAcentral.